Molecule: transfer RNA, 85 nt
Filed under: Muriicola marianensis
Lineage: Bacteria; Pseudomonadati; Bacteroidota; Flavobacteriia; Flavobacteriales; Flavobacteriaceae
Description: tRNA-Leu
Rfam family: tRNA
About the family: Transfer RNA (tRNA) molecules are approximately 80 nucleotides in length. Their secondary structure includes four short double-helical elements and three loops (D, anti-codon, and T loops).
Source: RNAcentral
GCCUCGGUGGCGGAAUUGGUAGACGCGCUGGAUUCAAAAUCCAGUGAUAGCAAUAUCGUGUGGGUUCGAUUCCCACCCGAGGUAC